This is a long non-coding RNA of Calidris pugnax (ruff), 1087 nucleotides long. RefSeq lists it as uncharacterized. The transcript has 4 exons. The record is from RefSeq and is a predicted model, not a curated record. Lineage: Eukaryota; Metazoa; Chordata; Aves; Charadriiformes; Scolopacidae.
GUCCUGCUUGAGAUCAGCAGAAAGAUGGGAGCUCAUCCCUCCGCGGGAGCCUGAGUUGUGAGAGGGAAGAGACUCUGUCAAUCAUGGAAAAAGGAAUUUGGCCUGAAGUCCUGUGAAGUCUGUGGAAAACUUCCAAGGGUUUCAUCUGGCUUUGUGUCAGUAUUUUGAGGGAACUGGAAAUAUUUCCUCGAGAAUGCCCUCCCUUUCUCUCCCUUUUCACCUGCCUCUGUUGCUUUGGUGCCCAAAACCGCGACAUUUGGUUUUGCUGCUUUGUUUUUGAACCCGUUCUGAUGUUUUGUUCCUCUGCCUUGUUCAGAUUUGGAGCUGCAGCUCGAGGAGCAGCCAGUCCCCAGAGUAUCGUUCCGUGCAGGCGGCCAUCCCAGCUCCAGCCAAAUCCCACCCACCCUCCGAGGUGUGGCACUGGGAAAGAGAAAGGGGAGAAAGAAGAAAAGCAAACAGCCCUGGAGAACCAGUCACACGUGGCUUCCCUGGUCCCGUUUCAUCCCUGCACAGCUGACUUCCAGAACCUGUAGGAAAUUGGAGAUGGACGUGAGCAGGAGUAGGAGUUGUGAGUGAAAAAAAAAGAACCCGCAGCUGCUCAAGCCUGGGCCUGUCUCUGGGAUGCCUCCAGGACUCUGAAGUGAUGCCAGCGAAGCAUAAAGUCACGCUCCACCCAUGGCCCGCCGUCUCCUCCUGAGGAAGGCAUCCCAGGACCUGUUUGGGUGUUGAGACGACAGACACAGAACCAGGGCACUGGAGUAAGAUCUCAGACAUCUGACUUCAUCAAUUCUUCUGAAAAAGGCAAGCUUUUUUUUUGUUUUUUCUCCAUAUUUCUCUCAGGACGAAGGCGUUUGCCAAUGCGAUUGACGGCAUUACCAGACAGUAUUAGACAAAACUAGCCAGAUCUAACUUUGCCUGGUAAGACAGCAAUCAGCAGGCUCUCGGGCUAAAGGAAACCACCAGCAUUAAAGGACUUUCUCCAGCUCCAAGACUAAAAAGACAGGGCAGGGGAAGGCUGAGGGCCUCUCCCUUAGACAAAGCAAUAACCGGUAAAUAUUUAACCUGGUGUACUUGCUGAUUGUGAGGC